AAUCAAGAUCGCCAAAAGAAGAAGAAAUUGAAAAAACCUGAAAAAUCACAGGAAGAAGAGCAGCCAGAAGUUGAAGACGAGAAGCUACCAGAAGUUGAAACAGCAGAAGAUGCACCCAAGGAGGUAGAAAAGUUACCCGAAAAGAAGCCAGAAAAAUUGCCUCAAAAGUUGGAACCAACGAAACCGAAAACAGAAGAGCUUGAAAAACCUAGAUCAAAAGAAGAAAAAAUUGAUCAGCCUGUCCUUCCCUUGAAAAAAGUCUCUAAAAUUCCCAAAAAAAUAGAGCCAAAAACAACAGAAAUCCCAAAAAUCCAUUUGAAAAGUAAGUUAAAAACUGUUCCAUUUCCAACAGAAGAGAAACAUCCUGUCAUCACUAAAUUAGAACCAGUUCAGGUAGACCACGGUGUACUAUCCAGGAACUAUGAGGAAGCUAAGAAACUUAAGAAAAAGAAGGUAAAGCCUGUUAAAUUGUCUGAUCUGGAGCAGACCGAGCUUGAAGAAUUCAGUCCAACAGAGUUCACGAAACCAGAAAAAGAAGUUUUUGAACCUGAACUUCACAAGUUCAAACGUGAAAAACCAGUUCGCAAGGAAGAAAAACCAGAUGUGCCAGAUUUGAAGCUUGGAAAAGGACAAGUGCCAGAUGUAAAAGACGAAAAAGAGGCAGUCACUUUGAAACCUAUUCCCGAAAAAAUACCUGAAGUAAUUGAGGAAAAACCUGCCCCCAAGAAAAAGUUGGUGGUGAAACCAGUCGAUGAUCAAGAAGAAAUUGAGACAACUGUUUCAUUGAAACCAAUUAAAGCGCCCAAAAAAAGUGUCGAAGAACCUGAGAUUGUAGAUACGGUAACAUUUGUACCUGCACGGAAGAAAACUGUGGAAGACAUCGUCCAAGAUUUCAAAAUUGAAUUGAAUACCUAUGAUGAGGAAGACGUCUCAGUCUCAGAAAAAGUUGCUUUACCGACUUCAGUCAAAAAACCGACUGAUGAAGCGCCAGCUUCUUUAACAGUUCAGCUCAAGCCUUCAGAAGAGGAUCAGCAACCUGCUAAUGUGGUUGACGAGGUCAAAGUCAAGAAGAAAAAACCCAAGAAAGAAAAAGUAAAAUCCGUAGCUGAGGAUACACCCACAGUGCCAUUAGAGGAAUCGAAACCAGUAGAACAGAAGAAACCGGAAGAAUCAGCGACUGAAGCAACUCCCUCACCUACUAUUCCAGAGGAGUUGACAGAUAGAGAAGAGAAACCAGAGGUUUUAGCAGUGGAACCUCAACCAGAAGCUCCUGUUGAAGGGGUGAUAAAGAAAAAGAAAACGAAGAAAUCGAUCACUGAGGAGUUAGCAGAAGUUCAAGGUCUUAAACCACAGCCUGAUGAAAAACUUGGAGAAGUCGUGGUAGAAGAAGUGAAAUUAAAAACAAAGAAACCUAGGAAGUCUCUUGUGGAAGACCUUACCGAAGAAAUCACGAUUGUAAAAACGCAGUCGGAAGAAGCAAAGCCUGAAGAUGUCCAGGUUCAAGAAGUAAAAAUUUCACCAAAGAAACCAAGAAAGUCCGUAGUGGAAGAGGUCUCUGAAGAGGUAACGAUCGUGAAACCCAAAUCAGUUAAAGAAAAGCCUGAAGAAACUGCAGUGGAAACAUUGAAAAUUAAACCGAAGAAACCGAAGAAAUCAGUGGUUGAGGAAGUUGCAGCAGAAGUCACGAUUGUUAAACCUCAGCCAGAUGCAGAAAAGCCUGAAGAGGAGGUCAUAGAAGAGGUGAAAAUAAAGAAGAAGCCCAGGGUUUCAGUCACAGAGGAAAUCAUUGAAGAAAACAUAACUCUGAAACCUGGACCUAAGAAAGAAGUAUUGGAAGAAGUGACCUCAGAAGAUGUUAAAGUUACACCAAAGAAACCUAAAAAAUCACGUACUGAAGAGGUUGCUGAGGAAAUAACAAUAAAGAAACCUGCUAAAGAAUCAGAUGAAGAUGUAGUCAUGCAAGAAAUUAAAUUAAAACCAAAAAAGAAACUUGUGACAGAAGAGGUUUCAGAGGAGGUUACCAUUACAAAAUCACAAGUUAAAGAAGAAAUCCCUGAAGAAUUUGUAAUAAGACCGAAGAAACCUCAAAAGACGCUUCCAGAAGAUGUUUCAGAGGAAAUCACCAUUUCCAAACCGGUAAAGAAAAAAGUUGGCCCCGAAGAAACGAUAAGUGGAGAAAUUAAGUUAAAGAAGAAGAAAUCUAAGAAAACAGUCGUCGAAGAAGCAGCCGAUGAGAUUCUAAUUCAGAAAGAGGCAGAGAUAGAGGAGGAGGAGGAGCCUCAGAGCGUCAUCAUCGAAGAGCUCGUCGAUCAACCUGAGGAAACUGAACAUGCAGAGGAGAUAUCAAUUGAAGAGGAUAAACCUACAAAGCAAAGGCCCAAAGAAGGAAAACCAGCAAAAGUUAUUGAAGAUUCUAAGUCAAAGAAACUCCGAAAGAAAUCAGCAACCAUUGAUAUUUCAGAGGUAUCGGAAGAAAUGUUGCCAGAAACAACCACAACUGAAGAAGAGAAGAAACCAGAUGAAAAAGAAGUGACUGAAGAAAAAACUCUCAAGAAGAGGAGACCAUCAAAACCAAAAGUAGAAGAAACAGAAACAGUUACAACAGUCAAACAGAAACGCAAAAAAUCCAGUGUCGAUGAAAGCAUUUCUGAAGAGGUUACCUUGGUGCAAAAGAAACCAAAGAAACCUGAGGAAAAAGUCUCAGAUGAGACUACCAUCGUUAAAGAAACUGGAGUGGAUGAUUCAGAGGAUAUAAGUAUGAUUGAAGAGCUGCCUGAAGAGGUGACUUCUCAGUCAUUUAAACUGAAGAAGAGGGUCGAGAAGCGGAAGCCAUCGGUCACUGAAGAAGGUGAAGUUGAGUUCUCAAUAAAGAAAUCCAAGCCCAAACCCAAACCACAAGAGGAAGUAUCAAUGGAGAGCGAGUUUACACUUGUACCUCGAAAGACAAAAACUGUUGAGGAUAUUGAUCAGGAAUUCAAGAUCUCCCUCAACACCUAUGAGGAGGAAGAUGUAUCAAUGACUGGCAAAGUGAAGUUGGCACGGAAACCGUCUCUGCAACCGAAGCUUGAGGAAGAAUCUGCAGAACUAACAGUUCAGAAGGAGGUGACUAUUAAGGAAGAAGAAGCUGAUAUCAGUGUUCCACUUAAAAGGAGGAAGAGUUCCGUAGUGAAGUACAGUGUGGAAGAGGUUGAUGAGGAGGAAGUCCAGGUCAAGCGAAAUUUGAAGCAGCGCAAGAGCAUUAUCAGUGAAGAGGAGUCAUUGAAUAUCAAAGUCAAACGCAAACCAUCAGCUCCAUCCUUCCAUCAAGGUACUGUUCCAUUUGUAGCUCUGAUUGCACUGUCGGGCUGA
This 3348-nucleotide long non-coding RNA is filed under the name Bemisia tabaci. RNAcentral's name for it is "lncRNA ENSSSA1NGG002959". Lineage: Eukaryota; Metazoa; Arthropoda; Insecta; Hemiptera; Aleyrodidae. The record is from RNAcentral.